Molecule: ribosomal RNA, 447 nt
Filed under: uncultured bacterium
Lineage: Bacteria
Description: partial 16S ribosomal RNA
Rfam family: Bacterial small subunit ribosomal RNA
Source: RNAcentral
AACGAACGCUGGCGGCAGGCCUAACACAUGCAAGUCGAGCGCCCCGCAAGGGGAGCGGCGGACGGGUGAGUAACGCGUGGGAACGUGCCCUUUGCUACGGAAUAGCCCCGGGAAACUGGGAGUAAUACCGUAUAAGCCCUACGGGGGAAAGAUUUAUCGGCAAAGGAUCGGCCCGCGGUGGAUUAGGUAGUUGGGGGGGUAAUGGCCUACCAAGCCGACGAUCCAUAGCUGGUUUGAGAGGAUGAUCAGCCACACUGGGACUGAGACACGGCCCAGACUCCUACGGGAGGCAGCAGUGGGGAAUCUUAGACAAUGGGCGCAAGCCUGAUCUAGCCAUGCCGCGUGAGCGAUGAAGGCCUUAGGGUUGUAAAGCUCUUUUACCAGGGAUGAUAAUGACAGUACCUGGAGAAUAAGCUCCGGCUAACUCCGUGCCAGCAGCCGCCGUAA